AUGGCUGGUCGCCGAAAUUCCUCCUCUCGCACCCCUAGCUCUAAGCCAGGCGAUUGGGAAAAGUGUUAUGUUCCUCAUAGCCGAUUAGUGGAGUUGCAGACCCAGGGGUUCCUCCCUCCCGCAUACAUGGUCCCCGUCCGAGCCGGACUAGCCACCUAUAAUGGCGGGGAGCAGGCGGAGAUCUUUCCGAACCCAUCUAGAGGGGAGUGGAUAUGCCUUGUCCCGUAUUUGCUGAGGGGGCUCGGGUUUCCAAUCCACCCAUUCCUCCGCGGGCUCCUGGAGUUCUAUGGUCUCCAGCUGCACAACUUCACUCCUGCCUCCAUACUGCACAUUGCAGGGUAUGUCGCCUUCUGUGAGCUUUUCCUGGGUUGCGAAGCUCAUUUCGAGCUAUGGAAGAGGCUAUUCUGCCUCGUCCCUCGCAAUCAAAAGGGAUCUAUAUAUCAAGUGGGCGAAGCCGAAAUAUGGCGCAUCGCCCAGGCCGGAUACUUGUCCGGCACUCCAAAGAAGGCAUCCUAA
This 516-nucleotide ribosomal RNA is filed under the name Triticum aestivum (bread wheat). RNAcentral describes it as "partial small subunit ribosomal RNA". The record is from RNAcentral. Lineage: Eukaryota; Viridiplantae; Streptophyta; Magnoliopsida; Poales; Poaceae.